Aphis gossypii (cotton aphid) is the source of this 67-nucleotide small nuclear RNA. RefSeq annotates it as U4 spliceosomal RNA. NCBI's taxonomy places the organism in Eukaryota, Metazoa, Arthropoda, Insecta, Hemiptera, Aphididae. The record is from RefSeq and is a predicted model, not a curated record. The transcript has a single exon.
AACUUUGCGUAUAGGUGAUAUCGUAACCAAUGAGGUGCAUCAGAGGUGUGAUUAUUGCUAGUUGAAU